RNAcentral lists this non-coding RNA (30 nucleotides) under Rattus norvegicus (Norway rat). The record is from RNAcentral. Lineage: Eukaryota; Metazoa; Chordata; Mammalia; Rodentia; Muridae.
UGGAAUAUUUUUUUAACCCAACCUCCCCCU